RNAcentral lists this ribosomal RNA (200 nucleotides) under Klebsiella pneumoniae. RNAcentral describes it as "partial 16S ribosomal RNA". It matches the Rfam family "Bacterial small subunit ribosomal RNA", at positions 350 to 542 of the family's 1533-position model. Lineage: Bacteria; Pseudomonadati; Pseudomonadota; Gammaproteobacteria; Enterobacterales; Enterobacteriaceae. The record is from RNAcentral.
AGCAGUGGGGAAUAUUGCACAAUGGGCGCAAGCCUGAUGCAGCCAUGCCGCGUGUGUGAAGAAGGCCUUCGGGUUGUAAAGCACUUUCAGCGGGGAGGAAGGCGAUGAGGUUAAUAACCUUGUCGAUUGACGUUACCCGCAGAAGAAGCACCGGCUAACUCCGUGCCAGCAGCCGCGGUAAUACGGAGGGUGCAAGCGUU